AUCCGGCUGACGAGUCCCAAAUAGGACGAAACGUGCGUCCUGGAU
Schistosoma mansoni is the source of this 45-nucleotide non-coding RNA. The record is from Rfam. Lineage: Eukaryota; Metazoa; Platyhelminthes; Trematoda; Strigeidida; Schistosomatidae.